UACGAAAGGGGCUAGCGUUGUUCGGAAUUACUGGGCGUAAAGCGCACGUAGGCGGCCUUGUAAGAUGGGGGUGAUAUCCCUGGGCUCAACCCAGGAACUGCCUUCAUGACUGCAAAGCUCGAGGAUGUGAGAGGUUGGCGGAAUUCCGAGUGUAGAGGUGAAAUUCGUAGAUAUUCGGAAGAACACGGGUGGCGAAGGCGGCGAACGGGAACAUUUCAGACGUUGAGGUGAGUAAGCGUGAGGAGCAAACAGG
RNAcentral lists this ribosomal RNA (253 nucleotides) under uncultured bacterium. Its description in RNAcentral is "partial 16S ribosomal RNA". It matches the Rfam family "Bacterial small subunit ribosomal RNA", at positions 524 to 776 of the family's 1533-position model. The record is from RNAcentral.